RNAcentral lists this long non-coding RNA (1064 nucleotides) under Ananas comosus (pineapple). RNAcentral describes it as "long non-coding RNA (ACOM_LNC025920)". The record is from RNAcentral. Lineage: Eukaryota; Viridiplantae; Streptophyta; Magnoliopsida; Poales; Bromeliaceae.
AUUAGUAUAUAUAUAUAUAUAUAUAUAUAUAUAUAUAUAUAUAUAUAUAUAUAUAUAUAGAGCUAGGCUACUAUACUAUCUAUAAUACCGAGCUCCGGUACUAUAGUGUUUGUUUUCGAUCUUAGGGCGUUCAAAUCAACGAUCCACACCGUUAAAACUGAUCUAGGGUAUUUAAAGUUUUUAGAAAUAAAAUUUUAUAUUUUUUCGACAUAGUUUACCUUAUGAUCAAACUAUUUCAAAAUUGUCAAUUUUCAAUGGCUAUUAUGACGAGUUUGGAGUUUAACGGUGUAGAAAAAUCUAAAUUUCUUCAAAUUUUGAUAGAAAAUACUUUAAAGUAUAUAGAUUAAGGUUAACAUUCUUGAUCUUGAAUUUAAAAGUCCUAUCCUCAAAUUUUAAAGAUUAUUCAAUUUCCACCGUCCAUUUUAAUAUAAUUUAUUUACUAAGUAAACGAUAUCGAAAAAAACUGAAAUUUUAUUCCUAAGAAAUUCAUAUACCUUAGAUCAUAUUUAACGGUGUGGAUCAUUGAUUUGAACGCCCUAAGAUCGAAAACAAACACUAUAGUACCGGAGCUCGGUACUAUAGAUAGUAUAGUAGCCUAAUUCUAUAUAUAUAUAUAUAUAUAUAUAUAUAGAAUUACUAUGCUAUUCAAAGUAUAGAAUAUUUGAUAUUUUCGAUUUUUUGAACUUAGAUAAAAAUUAUACGGUUAGAAUAAUUGCGGUUCUCCCUAGGAUUAAGAAUAGUACUUCUAUGAUUGAGUGGUCUCCACAAGAUAACAGUAUUAAUGCAAAUAUUAGAAAUGAUUAAAUGACUAAUCUAAGGGCUAAAAGUUUAAUCCUCUAUACUUUAGAUAGUAUAGUAGCUCUAAUCUAUAUAAUAUAGAGUAAGAUUAUUGUGCUAUUAAGAGUAUAGUAAUUUUUGUGCUCCUAAUUUUCUACUCCUUUAUUAUGCUAUUAAGAGUAUAGCAGUUUUUGUGCUUCUAAUUUUCUAAUCAUUUAUCAAUUUUGAUGGAUGAUUAGGAUGAGAAAUACAAGAGAAAUUAAGGAAAAAUUCAAAACCUACUUAAU